This is a long non-coding RNA of Scylla paramamosain (green mud crab), 814 nucleotides long. RefSeq lists it as uncharacterized. The record is from RefSeq and is a predicted model, not a curated record. Lineage: Eukaryota; Metazoa; Arthropoda; Malacostraca; Decapoda; Portunidae. The transcript is spliced from 3 exons.
GCACUAGUGUGUUUUGGGGGCUCAGACCAGCACAUUCCCACUGUUUAUCCAUUGUUUGAGUUGAUGCAUUGUCUGGCCAGCCACUUGUGUGUAUGUAGGGGACUCGGACAAGUUUAUUUAAUGUUCAGUGACCCGUUUGCAGGCACAGGGGUGUUGACAAGCUGGGUGUGCAGGAGAUAGACAGUUAGAAAGGUUUACAGUUCAAAUGCUACAUGUAUCUUAAAAAUACAGAUAAUAAGUGGAUAAAUAGAUUGAAAUUAAUAUAAAAUACCAUUCUUUAUUUAACACUUAACCAAACUUAACCAACAUACACACACACGCUAACUCAGACAGUACCCUAACUACCUUAGCAUCCCGCAGGAGGCCAUGUCCGAGGUGCCAGUGGUGGGGUCGCCAGUUCCAGAGUACGAAGUGGAGGAGGAAGAGGAAGAAGAGGACGAGGAGGAGGCACGGAUGAGGAAGAAGAAAAGAUUAUUACCUGUAGCCCUCCCUCCAGCUGAUAAGGGGAUAUUAAUGAGGCCUUCCUACAGUUACGAGACCCAGAUGGUGUUCCUCGGCCUUUAGAUCUGAACUUCUUCAAGUAUUCUGCCUCAGUGGCUCGUUCCCCAUCCUUCAUCAACAUGAGGGAGGUGUCUUGUCGCUUCAAGCUGCCCCCUGGCACUUACUGCAUUGUGCCAUCCACCUUUGAGCCUAAUGAAGAAGGAGAGUUCAUUUUGAGAGUCUUCUCUGAAAAAGCCAAUGAAAUGGAGAAAAGCGUACCAGCCAGCCUGCCCACCACACCCAUGUCAACAACCACUUUGUCGUCACUGCAGAA